RNAcentral lists this ribosomal RNA (617 nucleotides) under Cranopoeus sp. NLG-2014. RNAcentral's name for it is "partial 16S ribosomal RNA". The stretch from base 1 to 393 matches the Rfam family "Microsporidia small subunit ribosomal RNA", at positions 768 to 1311 of the family's 1311-position model. Lineage: Eukaryota; Metazoa; Arthropoda; Insecta; Coleoptera; Curculionidae. The record is from RNAcentral.
UUCUUUAAAAUUAAAAAAGUUGGCGGUAUUUUAGUCUAUUCAGAGGAACCUGUCCUAUAAUUGAUAGUCCACGAUUUUAUUUACUUAUUUUUAAAAAUUUGCAUAUCGCCGUAGGUUGAAUAUCUUUAGAAAGUUUUAAAUAUUCAAGAUUUAUAAUUAAAAGAAAACAGGUCAAGGUGUAGUUUAUAGAUAAGAAGAGAUGGGUUACAAUAAAUAAAUUUAAAUGGAUAAGUUUUUUUAAUGAAGCUUUGAAAGUGGAUUUGAUAGUAAUUUAAAAUAGAUUUUUUAGAUGAUUUUAGCUCUAAAAUAUGUACAUAUCGCCCGUCGCUUUCACUUUAAAGUGGAAUAAGUCGUAACACAGUAGGGGUACUGGAAAGUGUCCCUAGAAAGAUCGAGUUAAAGCUUUUGGAGCAUUUUAGUUACAUUAAAAAGGUUUAUUGAUAUUUCAAUAUAAUUCGAAAAAAUUGGAUUAUUAAAAAAUUAAAUUUUUUAGUGAUUAAAAAAAGAAAUUUUUUUUUAUUAUUAUAUAUGAAAAAAGUAUGUAUUAAUUAUAGAGUAAAGUAUUGUAUAAGAAAUUUAAAAUUUUUUUGUAAGAAUAAUUAUUUUUUAGUACCUGG